AUGAUGGCUUCCUCCCGCGCCGCGCUGCUCGUCGCUGUUCUCCUCCUCCUGCUGGUCUCCUCCCUCUCCGUCCGAGCCGAGGCGGAUCAGGUGGCGCGAGCGCCGGCGCUGGCGCCGGACGUUGCCGCGGCGAGCUGGGUACAGCAGGGAUCGCAGGAAGCGGCGGCGCCGGGGCGGCCUGGAAUGGGCAUGGGCAAGAACGGCGCGGCGAGGUGGAGGAGGACGGCGGGGCGGCGCGGCCGGGGAGGAGGAGGAGGAGGCACCGGCGCGUGGGCGUUCUCGGCGAUGCUGCCCCGUGGGUUCGUGCCGCCGUCGGGAUCGUCGGCGUGCCACAACGACAUGCCGGCCGCCGCCGCCGACGCGGAGUUCUUCGUGUGCGGCGGCGGCGACGGGAGCCCGUGAUCGUCGACGACGACGACGACGAAGACGGCCGUGUUCGUUCCUGCCUGCCCGGUGCUGGACUUGUUCGAUCAACAAAUGAAGAUCCAGUUCCAAGAGCUCAUUCAAGAAUAGGAUGAUGAGUUAGUUCUUGUUUCGAUUCGUCACCUUCUCGGCUUCUCCCCUGUUCUUGAAUUUGUAAAAAGGCGGAAAAAAACUUUUGUCCUCCGAAAAUGAGUGCUUACACUACAAUCUCUUGGACAUUCC
RNAcentral lists this long non-coding RNA (645 nucleotides) under Oryza sativa tropical japonica subgroup. RNAcentral describes it as "lncRNA OsKeNa_06g0018490". Lineage: Eukaryota; Viridiplantae; Streptophyta; Magnoliopsida; Poales; Poaceae. The record is from RNAcentral.